GAUGAACGCUGGCGGCGUGCCUAAUACAUGCAAGUCGAGCGAACGGACGAGAAGCUUGCUUCUCUGAUGUUAGCGGCGGACGGGUGAGUAACACGUGGAUAACCUACCUAUAAGACUGGGAUAACUUCGGGAAACCGGAGCUAAUACCGGAUAAUAUUUUGAACCGCAUGGUUCAAAGGUGAAAGACGGUCUUGCUGUCACUUAUAGAUGGAUCCGCGCUGCAUUAGCUAGUUGGUAAGGUAACGGCUUACCAAGGCAACGAUGCAUAGCCGACCUGAGAGGGUGAUCGGCCACACUGGAACUGAGACACGGUCCAGACUCCUCGGGAGGCAGCAGUAGGGAAUCUUCCGCAAUGGGCGAAAGCCUGACGGAGCAACGCCGCGUGAGUGAUGAAGGUCUUCGGAUCGUAAAACUCUGUUAUUAGGGAAGAACAUAUGUGUAAGUAACUGUGCACAUCUUGACGGUACCUAAUCAGAAAGCCACGGCUAACUACGUG
This 496-nucleotide ribosomal RNA is filed under the name uncultured bacterium. RNAcentral's name for it is "partial 16S ribosomal RNA". It matches the Rfam family "Bacterial small subunit ribosomal RNA", at positions 28 to 507 of the family's 1533-position model. The record is from RNAcentral.